CACAAACGACACUACAAAAGUGCCUUGCAGGUCAGAAAAGACGAGGCAUUUCUUGGAGAUGCACAAACACAUUUUGGAACAUGCCGCAGGGUUGGACCUUCAUUAUACUGACACAUUCUGCAGAUGCUUUGUUUGAUUGAGAUCUGGGAAUUCGGGGGCCUUUUCCCUUUUUCCAUUAUUUUGUGGUUCAGUGCUGACAUGCACUUGCCCAUUGUUGAUGGUUUCAGUUGUGGGCAGGGACCAAGAAAGAUGUCUGGUCUUGCCUGUGGGUGACAUUAGUGAGCCUUGGAUGCACGUGACUCUGUUGCUGGUUUGACAGAUUUCCAUCCUUGGACCACUUUUAAUAGGUACUGACCACCACAAACCUGGAAUACCCCACAAGAGCUGCAAUUUUAGUAAAGAAGCUGAAUGUAAACUUGAGUGCAGACGUGAUAUGUGGAGACGUUGGUGCUUGUAGCGAAUGGAUCCAGUGCGCAAAGACCGUAACACCACAACCUCAGUGUGGCGUUUGAAGGUUUUCUCAAGUAAACCAUUGUAAAGGGGGCUACUGACCAUGUCUCUAUUUUUUGAUAGAGAUGACAGGUUGAAGCAGUCCUCAGGGAAGGUCAGCUCAGCCCUGAUCCUCUAAAUUAUUCUAAGUUUUGAGUCUUGAGGAAAAAACUGCAGAUUUAAACCAACAGAUGAGUCUGUCAAAUCUCUUCCUUUAAAACACGUUUUGGUAGGCAUACACUGACUCCUGGGAACCAUGAGCGAGCCCCUUCUUCUUUAUGCAAGAUAUGAACUCUGUUUUUAAUGGAGUCAUCCUGAGUUCCUCGGUGUAAAGACUCCUCCCUAAUGUGCUCACAAUAUUAGGCCUUUUAAAAAGUGGUCUCUCAAAAAAUGCUCAGUCAUAAACUUAUUAUGGCCCUCAUAAUAAGGGCCUCCUCUCUAAAUACACAGCUCUACUGUUUUGAUAUCAUAUGGAUUCAUACAGAGGUGUCUUUGGAAACUCAGCUUCAUGGUUUUAAUACAUGUUAAUCAUCUUGUACUCAGUACAUACUAGUCCUCUGGCUACUUGGUCACACACCCACUUCUUCUCUGUGGACAACAGUGAUUCUAUGUUACAAUUUUGACAAUGGCUGAAAAACAAAGGAGUCUAUUCCUGGAAAACGCUUCAACUGUGCCGUCUACUGACAGCAUAAAACCUGUGAUGGCCACACAAAAACAGUCUGCGCCCUAAUGUAGUGGAUCAGAUUUACCAUCUCAACAAAACCGUACAGCAGAGGUAGUCUACAAAGAACGUCUUACAUGGUCUUCUCAUAAGGUCAUGGUCUUUGGAGAAAACAAGGUCCCACCCAUCCAAACUAAAGUAAAGGGGCUGGUCUCCCAGCAUUUAAUGACGUAAUAAUUAGAGAACACAAAACUGUGCACUCUUUCUUUAGACCUUAAUGAGGCAGAAAACAUCAAGUUAGAGCUGGUUACCACAAAGGGAAUGAAAGAUAUGGGAAGGACUCCAGCAGUUGGAUCCACACUGGAGGACCUGGAGCUGAGGAAGAAGGAGCUGACAGGAUGAAACGGUGGAGAAGAGGCUACAACAGGAUUCUCAGAACAGAUUCCUGACUGUUCAAGGCCAGUUCAUGACCCACCACUGGACUGAAAAACAGUUUAACUGUUGAGAAAAGGUUUUUGGACAUUCAACCCACACAGAGUACCACUUCUGUAAAUACUUUUUCCAAACAUAUCUGACAUUUUUUGGUCAUGAUUGCACUCUUUGUAAUUUACCAUAUUGUUGUUUUUUUUCAUUCCAAGUUCAAUCAGCUGAUUAUUUUUUUGUAUCAUUUUUUUAAAUGUGUGAAUCACUCAGAAGAGAAAAAUGUACUGUGAUUUAUUUAUGUUUACCCUGCAUACCUUUCACCUGACCUUCAGAACUGAAGCCCAAAGAAGCUGUUUGCAGGUCCAGGAUCAGGUCCAGGAUCAGGAUCAGGAUCAGGAUCAGGUAUGUUUGUAUUGGAAACAUGAAUGCAACUUUUGAGAAAAUGGCAGAGGUGGAUUUAGGUUUGUAUGAGGUCUGACGCUAAUCUGUAUGGCAAAACACACACACGCACGCACACACACACACACACACACACACACAAAAGGACGCUCUUCUUCUCUGCAGGGCAAGGCGCAGGCAUGUAGGUGACUUUCCCGCCACUGCUGCCUCUCUGUUGGUCUCUGGUACUGCAGACUGGUGACAUGGCGCACUCAGAGAAAGUGAAUGGACAUAAACUGCGUUAAUGUUGUUUUGCCCCGGCAGUAGAACAUUCAGGGCUGAGCCCAGUUAGCCACCCCCUAACUCUGCCUGUGGUGAGCGGUAUGACAGACGAAUGACAAUACGACAAUCAGUGAUAAUUCACUUACUGGAAAGUGGCUGAAAUAAUGAUGCAGAAAUGCUCGUAUCACUAGAAAGCGUGGUGUCAGGAUGUUUCUUCCCUUUACAUCACCAGUCUAAUUUGUAAUAUCUACCUGGGACUUCAGCCUGUGGUGGAAAAGCGACCGACAACAAAAGGCCACAGGAACUAUUUCACUCCUCCGAUAAAUCUCCCUAGAAUUCAAAGUUUCUAGAAUCCUUAGUUGAAAAGCAUCUAAAAUACACAAAGACAGCUGUGUCCACAGGGGGCGCCAAACAUGAUUUAAACCAAGAAUUCCUUACAGAAGCUUUAACUGUUUAGAAGUUGUUGCACAAGCGAAUUAGAGAAGCUCGGAUACAGAUUAUAGAAAUAAUCUUUAUCAGAAACACACGAGUGAAUUUGUAUGACUCUGAUACUGAACAUCAUCUGUGAUCUAAAAAAACUGCCCCGGACAUUCGAGUGUUUGUUUCACUCACCGUAUCAGACGGCUGAAUUUCUUCUAUUCUGACACAUUUCCCUGAUUAUAGCGCUGCAUAACCUUUGCUCUGAUCUGUAUCCUGUUGUUUUCUGAGCUAGAUGAGAUCAUGUUUUUCAGGCAGGAUAAAUUCACUUCUCGUUAGUUUCCUGGUUUUGUUUUAUCAAAAGGGAAACAACUGAAGCAGCUGCACAUUCCUCAGCCUCUGCUGAGUGACUGAUGAACUCUCAUGAACCCUCCAUGGUCACUAAAUACGGUGAUUAUCUGUGACAUGAUUACUCAUAAAGGGAGUGAAUGUCACAAAGUGUUUAAACAUUCCAACCCAUGAAUCGUGUCAAAGGUUUGAGUGUGAAAAGAGAUGGAAGGUCCACACAGAUAAAAGUCGGAUCAACUUUAGAGUUUACAGAUCUGAGUUAAAUCUGAGCGAUCUGUGGUGAAACCAGAGGAGACCGAGUUUCUGUUUCCUCAGGAUGUUCCCAGAGAGUGUCGGGGAAGUCUUUCCGGUGUCUGUCUGUCCCUCUCCUGUGUCCUGUGAUAAACUGUGCCAAUCACAGUUGGCACCUCUGUAUUCACAGUGAGUCCAGUUGUCAUGGAAACAGGAUGUUAGAAGAAGUUUGUGUAUGAUGUGAAAGCACGUCUAAAAGCGAAGAACGAGGCAGAGGAGGCACUGCCCCCUCCAGACUAAGAAGGAAAUAUGUAGAUUUUAUGUUGUCAGUUUAUUCCUGUUUUUGUACAGGGCUUUAAGCAUCGCAGGAACAGUAAAUACGACAUGAGCUGCAUGUGUACGGGGAAGCCAUCUUGGUGGGGGCAUCAUUCCCAUUAAAGGAAAUACAUGUUCAUAAAAAAAAAAACAGUCAUAUCUUCAUUUCUCCACUGAUUUUUAUGUGGUUUACUUCAUUGUCAACGCUUAAAUAUAUGGAAUUAAUGCUUUAGAUUUUAAAAAGUUUAAUCAAAUGUUGUGUAUUAUGAUGUGGAUCAGAUAUAUAGAUUUCUACACAUAAUAGAGGGAGUUGAUAUAUGUACACAGCAGAGUGUAUUUAAGCAAAUCAGGUUGGGGAACCCGUGUAUUAAUAUCAUUUUCUUUUUUAUCUUCUAAAGAAAGAACAUUAUUUUUUUUUGGUCUUGAAAAAUAACAUACAUAUUCACCAAUGGAGACAUUUUUUCACCCCUAUUGAUUAAAAAAACAGAUUAGAUAAGUUUCCCUAAAUGUAUGGAUGAUUUUCUUCAGCCAGUCAUGUCAGCCUUUACGGUGGUGGAGCUCAGAUACCUCAGAUCUUUUGGUGCUAGAUUCCUGACGCCAUGAGCCUCUGAAAAUCCUCCUAAACCAGGACCUUCAACACCCGGCUACCAUCACUCAGGUUCCCAAAAUAUGUCGUGAUUUGUUAUUCGCCUACAUGGACUCUCUAAACUGUCAACAGGAUGAAAGCAGAAUGUCUAAAGAUGUGGACGGCUUUAUAAACCAGAACCCUCUCAGACCAGUCUGUGUGACACCCAGAUCUGCAACCAGUAAACCCAGUCUAACUGGUCACUGGUGUGGACCUCACACUAAAUAAACUAUUUUUGUUCAUUGUGUUCUCUGUUUGUUUUUUAGUGACAUUAAACAAACGCACCUGAAGUUAAA
RNAcentral lists this long non-coding RNA (4465 nucleotides) under Xyrichtys novacula (pearly razorfish). Lineage: Eukaryota; Metazoa; Chordata; Actinopteri; Labriformes; Labridae. The record is from RNAcentral.